This 318-nucleotide unclassified non-coding RNA is filed under the name plant metagenome. RNAcentral describes it as "partial contains 5.8S ribosomal RNA, internal transcribed spacer 2, and large subunit ribosomal RNA". The stretch from base 1 to 105 matches the Rfam family "5.8S ribosomal RNA", at positions 50 to 154 of the family's 154-position model. The record is from RNAcentral.
GAAAUGCGAUAAGUAAUGUGAAUUGCGGAAUUCAGUGAAUCAUCGAAUCUUUGAACGCACAUUGCGCCCAUUAGUAUUCUAAUGGGCAUGCCUGUUCGAGCGUCAUUUCAACCCUCAAGCCUUAGUUGCUUGGUGUUGGGAGCUUAUCCUGCCGCAAGGCGGGACAACUCCUUAAAUUUAUUGGCGGAGUCGCGGUGACCCCAAGCGCAGUAAUUCCUUUUCUCGCUUUAGGUGUUAACGCUGGCUUCUAGCCAUUAAACCCCCUAAUUUUCUAAUGGUUGACCUCGGAUCAGGUAGGACUACCCGCUGAACUUAAGC